CAUUAAUCUGCAAACUAAGAUCUGCAGAGUGAUGGCAAAAUAUAUUUGAGCGUCCAACAGAGUAGUCUGUAAAACGGCAUUUAUGGGAAGGAAAUGUCAAUACAUACGGAGGCAAGAGAUUUUGCAGUGACAUUUUGCUGGGGUGGACACACUUUGAUGUAGAAGCUUGCAAUGCGGAAAUUUACACAAUAAAGAUAGAAGAGUUAUUAACAAGGAGAUGCGUGACCUUCCUUGUGGGUCACUGGAGAAGCAGAGGGGGAGACAAUAGAAAGGCAUGCAGACUUGUUACCCAAGAAAAUCUGGGAGAGUGGAAGACACUUCCCAGAGAGUCACAGACGGCUGGAGCUUCCUCACGCUUAAGAGAGAGCCUGUGAUUGGAGGAGGAGGCCUCAGCGAAGAAAUACUGUGCGUGACAGAGUUUCCAGGUGUUGGUGAGUGAGACUGAAGAGUUUUGCACAUCUUUAGAAAGGAAGAGGGAAGUUGGCUGGGUAAUAUUUUCUAGACAGCGACACGGCUGUGAAGCUGAACUCACACGUCUCCAGAUUCCAUGGGGCGAUGCUCACACUUGAUUCUGGAACAUCGAAUGUUGGCAUUAGACCCAAGGGUUGCUCCAGAUCUCCUCUCAGAUAAAGAACUGCAGCGAUUCUCUCGAAGACUGGAAAUACCUUAGUGUUUUCUUCCCUGAUGGCUUUGCUCGGAGCGCUCUCAAACGAAGCCGACAGAGACCUGAGCUACGCGAUGAAUGGAGCAGCUUGUUGAAGAGGGGGAGUCUCUGCAAAACAAUGGCCAAGCCCUCUUGUCUGUCUCUGAUGCAAGGAGUGGAAAUCAGGUCGAUUUGGUUCUAGAAUGUGAUGUGAGCUCUCCCAGGCCCCCUCAGGAACUUAAAAUGCCUUAAUAUGAACACCAGAAACCUGAGAGGGGUCCAGAUGGGACGGUGCCGUUGGCCUCAUGGAACUCAGGUCUGUGUGGUGGUGACACACAACACAAGCUGGAGGCAAUGGUCACGAGAUGCUGCGGCCGGAAGGAGCCCAGUGGGAAGACGCUCCCGAUGCAGAAAGGAAGCCACACUCUUUUGAUCAGGAAGAUUUCCCAUGAUUUGAAAGAGUAAAGCCCCAGGAAACGCUCCCGACGCUGAGGCUGGGCUGAGCAUCCCCGGUUGGCAACUCACAUCGAUGUGCUGGGGAGGCGCUGUGACCUGAGGAUGCCCAGCUUCCCCUGUGGGACCCCCCCACCUCGCUGAUGUCUCUCUUCCUCUGCUUGAUUCAGAUUUUUAUUCCUCUGUUGUAAUAAAACUGUAAUCAUAAGUACGGU
This 1311-nucleotide long non-coding RNA is filed under the name Equus caballus (horse). RNAcentral describes it as "lncRNA (ENSECAG00000058525.1)". The record is from RNAcentral. Lineage: Eukaryota; Metazoa; Chordata; Mammalia; Perissodactyla; Equidae.